Molecule: ribosomal RNA, 1376 nt
Filed under: Pedobacter sp. TSBY-14
Lineage: Bacteria; Pseudomonadati; Bacteroidota; Sphingobacteriia; Sphingobacteriales; Sphingobacteriaceae
Description: 16S ribosomal RNA
Rfam family: Bacterial small subunit ribosomal RNA
Source: RNAcentral
CAAGUCGAACGAUACCAUUUAGCUUGCUGUUUGGGAAAGUGGCGCACGGGUGCGUAACGCGUAUGCAACCUACCUCAAUCAGGGGGAUAGCCCGAAGAAAUUCGGAUUAACACCGCAUAAAAUCACAGGAUAGCAUUAUCCAAUGAUCAAAUAUUUAUAGGAUUGAGAUGGGCAUGCGUGUCAUUAGUUAGUUGGCGGGGUAACGGCCCACCAAGACCACGAUGACUAGGGGAUCUGAGAGGAUGACCCCCCACACUGGUACUGAGACACGGACCAGACUCCUACGGGAGGCAGCAGUAAGGAAUAUUGGUCAAUGGAGGCAACUCUGAACCAGCCAUGCCGCGUGCAGGAAGACAGCCCUCUGGGUCGUAAACUGCUUUUAUUCGGGAAUAAACCUACUUACGUGUAAGUAGCUGAAUGUACCGAAGGAAUAAGGAUCGGCUAACUCCGUGCCAGCAGCCGCGGUAAUACGGAGGAUCCAAGCGUUAUCCGGAUUUAUUGGGUUUAAAGGGUGCGUAGGCGGCUUAUUAAGUCAGGGGUGAAAGACGGUGGCUCAACCAUCGCAGUGCCCUUGAUACUGAUGAGCUUGAAUACACUAGAGGUAGGCGGAAUGUGACAAGUAGCGGUGAAAUGCAUAGAUAUGUCACAGAACACCGAUUGCGAAGGCAGCUUACUAUGGUGUCAUUGACGCUGAGGCACGAAAGCGUGGGGAUCAAACAGGAUUAGAUACCCUGGUAGUCCACGCCCUAAACGAUGAAUACUCGCUGUUAGCGAUACACAGUUAGCGGCUAAGCGAAAGCGUUAAGUAUUCCACCUGGGGAGUACGGUCGCAAGAUUGAAACUCAAAGGAAUUGACGGGGGCCCGCACAAGCGGAGGAGCAUGUGGUUUAAUUCGAUGAUACGCGAGGAACCUUACCCGGGCUUGAAAGUUAGUGAAUCAUUUAGAGAUAGAUGAGUGAGCAAUCACACGAAACUAGGUGCUGCAUGGCUGUCGUCAGCUCGUGCCGUGAGGUGUUGGGUUAAGUCCCGCAACGAGCGCAACCCCUAUGUUUAGUUGCCAGCACGUUAAGGUGGGGACUCUAAACAGACUGCCUGUGCAAACAGAGAGGAAGGAGGGGACGACGUCAAGUCAUCAUGGCCCUUACGUCCGGGGCUACACACGUGCUACAAUGGAUGGUACAGAGGGCAGCAAGCUGGCAACAGCAAGCAAAUCUCAAAAAGCCAUUCACAGUUCGGAUAGAGGUCUGCAACUCGACCUCUUGAAGUUGGAUUCGCUAGUAAUCGCGUAUCAGCAAUGACGCGGUGAAUACGUUCCCGGGCCUUGUACACACCGCCCGUCAAGCCAUGGAAGUUGGGGGUACCUAAAGUAUGUAACC